Molecule: ribosomal RNA, 930 nt
Filed under: Orussus abietinus
Lineage: Eukaryota; Metazoa; Arthropoda; Insecta; Hymenoptera; Orussidae
Description: eukaryotic LSU rRNA
Rfam family: Eukaryotic large subunit ribosomal RNA
Source: RNAcentral
UUGAAAAGAACUUUGAAGAGAGAGUUCAAGAGUACGUGAAACCGUUCAGGGGUAAACCUGAGAAACCCGAAAGAUCGAGUGGGGAGAUUCAUCGUCAGCGAAGUCGGAUCCCCGUUGGGAUCGCGAUGCGGGUGACCCGGGCCCUCGUGGUACCCACGGUCCCUCGGCACGCGUCCCUCGGGGAACGUCCGGCGGCGUCGGCGCGCACUUCUCCCCUGGUAGGACGUCGCGACCCGUCGGGUGUCGGUCUACGGCUCGGGCGGUUGCCUGUCCCGUCGCUUCGGUGCACGGGACAGACCCCCGGUGUCCCGGCCGGCUGCUCGGCGGUACUCGUACGGUAUUGGGCCGCAAAAAUGUUGAACUGCGUCGCAGGGCCCGCCGCAAGCGCGGUCAGUGAACCCGGAUGCGCGGACCAAGCGCCGCCCCCGGACCUGGCCAGCUGUUGGCAGGCGGUGUCCUCGGACAGGCCGAAUGGCGAUACCGGUCGGCGACGCUACUGCUUUGGGUACUUUCAGGACCCGUCUUGAAACACGGACCAAGGAGUCUAACAUGUGCGCGAGUCAUUGGGACCGAGGAAGCCUAAAGGCGAAAUGAAAGUGAAGGUCGGCCCAGCGCCGACCGAGGGAGGAUGGACGGCGUCACGAUGCCGUCCCGCACUCCCGGGGCGUCUCGUUCUCAUUGCGAGAAGAGGCGCACCCAGAGCGUACACGUUGGGACCCGAAAGAUGGUGAACUAUGCCUGGUCAGGACGAAGUCAGGGGAAACCCUGAUGGAGGUCCGUAGCGAUUCUGACGUGCAAAUCGAUCGUCGGAACUGGGUAUAGGGGCGAAAGACUAAUCGAACCAUCUAGUAGCUGGUUCCCUCCGAAGUUUCCCUCAGGAUAGCUGGCACUCGCGUGUUCCCAGGAACCUGUGCGAGUCUCAUCUGGUAA